GGUAACUGACGUGCCAUCCGUCGAAUCCCCGCAGCGGUCCCGCCCUUUUUCUGUUAAAGGCGGCCAAUGGGAGCUCGGCAAGAGGCGGCGUACCGGAAGUGAAGGCUGUCCCGCGCAGGUGGCGCUACAGCCCUCCUCACUGGUACAUCACCAUGGAAACCGACGGGGACCUUCAAGGAUGUUGGGAGAAAACACUUUCGAGCUCGAAGCAUCCAGUGACGUAAUGUUACCGGUGUGAGAACGAGGACCCUGAUGCUGCCUUCACGUACUGCUCGUCAAUUUGACCUAACCUCUCCAACUGGUCCGUGAAGGCAGCAGCUGGCCGCUCGGCUCAGCAGCCGGAGGAGAGGAGAGAGAGAGAGAGAGACAG
Paralichthys olivaceus (Japanese flounder) is the source of this 370-nucleotide non-coding RNA. The record is from RefSeq and is a predicted model, not a curated record. NCBI's taxonomy places the organism in Eukaryota, Metazoa, Chordata, Actinopteri, Pleuronectiformes, Paralichthyidae.